GACGAACGCUGGCGGCGUGCUUAACACAUGCAAGUCGAACGGAAAGGCCCUGCUUUUGUGGGGUGCUCGAGUGGCGAACGGGUGAGUAACACGUGAGUAACCUGCCCUUGACUUUGGGAUAACUUCAGGAAACUGGGGCUAAUACCGGAUAGGAGCUCCUGCUACAUGGUGGGGGUUGGAAAGUUUCGGCGGUUGGGGAUGGACUCGCGGCUUAUCAGCUUGUUGGUGGGGUAGUGGCUUACCAAGGCUUUGACGGGUAGCCGGCCUGAGAGGGUGACCGGCCACAUUGGGACUGAGAUACGGCCCAGACUCGUACGGGAGGCAGCAGUGGUGAGUAUUGCACAAUGGGCGGAAGCCUGAUGCAGCAACGCCGCGUGCGGGAUGACGGCCUUCGGGUUGUAAACCGCUUUCGCCUGUGACGAAGCGUGAGUGACGGUAAUGGGUAAAGAAGCACCGGCUAACUACGUG
Molecule: ribosomal RNA, 468 nt
Filed under: uncultured bacterium
Lineage: Bacteria
Description: partial 16S ribosomal RNA
Rfam family: Bacterial small subunit ribosomal RNA
Source: RNAcentral